RNAcentral lists this long non-coding RNA (745 nucleotides) under Physcomitrium patens. Its description in RNAcentral is "long non-coding RNA (PPAT_LNC002303)". The record is from RNAcentral. Lineage: Eukaryota; Viridiplantae; Streptophyta; Bryopsida; Funariales; Funariaceae.
GGCAACUUAGUAUGAAGGGUGUUUAAUAUGAAGGGGGUGUUGAAGGUGACUAAGUCGAUAUCAAAGACAAGUUUCCAUCAAAAUGCAUCUUUAUCAAAUGGAAAGCUUUUUCCAAGGGUACAGCACCCUUCCAAUAAGUUAGUCCCAUCAUCAAUGGAGAGCCAGCACCCCCCCCCCUUUUCCUUCCCUUUCCUUUCAUGGAACCUCCCAACCAAACCAAACCAAACCUCACAAGACACCCAGGUUUCCCCCACACCUACAUGGCUUCUCAUGCACCUCUACCACGUGUCAACUACUCAUUCACGAGACCUACGAGAAAAUUGCUGAUGUGGCAUGAAGCACAGCCCAAUGCUGAGUACUCAGAACAUCAUCUUGUGGCUGGAUGCAACUUGCUCUUGUGAUGCCCUCGUGACUGAUAGAACCUAUGCACACACACGCACACACUCAAAGUGGGAGUUAAUAAAUUAUGCGUCGGGAGGCGUCAAUCAUCAGGGCGAAGUGGGAGUUUACUAAAUAUGCAUGACAAAAGAGUGCAUGAGCUUUCAUGGAGCAGCGAAGUUGGGGACUACAGUUGGGAAGUGCGUAGCAUGGAGGAGGGUGCCAGCCAAUGUUACUGCCACUGCCAGGUCUACUACAGAAUACAGUAUUGAAAUAUCAUAAAAUCCAGAGGUAGAGAGGAGAGGGUUGAGAUUUUUGGGGGUUUUGGGGUUGGCCCCAGGGCUCUAAAGCACUCACAGCCGACCAG